This 301-nucleotide ribosomal RNA is filed under the name uncultured bacterium. Its description in RNAcentral is "partial 16S ribosomal RNA". It matches the Rfam family "Bacterial small subunit ribosomal RNA", at positions 509 to 807 of the family's 1533-position model. The record is from RNAcentral.
CAGUCGCCGCGGUAAUACGUAAGGGGCGAGCGUUGUUCGGAAUUAUUGGGCGUAAAGGGCAUGUAGGCGGCUAUGUAAGCCUGAUGUGAAAUCCUGGGGCUUAACCCUAGAAUAGCAUUGGGUACUGUAUAGCUUGAAUUACGGAAGGGAAACUGGAAUUCCAAGUGUAGGGGUGGAAUCUGUAGAUAUUUGGAAGAACACCGGUGGCGAAGGCGGGUUUCUGGCCGAUAAUUGACGCUGAGAUGCGAAAGUGUGGGGAUCGAACAGGAUUAGAUACCCCCGUAGUCCCUGUCUCUUAUAC